GUAGGUGAACCUGCCGUUGGAUCAGUUCUAGUUUAAUAACUAACACCAACUUCUUUUAAUUAAAUUUUUAAAACCACAUACAACAAACAAAAAAUAAUCAAAAAAGUUAGGACUCUAAUCAACGGAUGUCUUGGCUCCUUACACGAUGAAGAACGUUGCAUAAUGUGAUAAGUAACUGGAGUUGCGAACAUUGUGACAAGUUAAUCUUUGAAUGCAAAUUGCGCGUACCGUUGCUUUCGGGCAUCGGUUGCAUGUAUGCCACAGUACUGCAUAAAAUAAUAUAUAUUCUUCUUUCACGCAAAGAAGCAAAUAUUAUUUAAGCAAAAAUGUACGUAGUCUGCGACAUACAGGAAGACCCGCUGAACUGAAGCAGCGGGGUACGCGCAAUUUGCAUUC
This 396-nucleotide unclassified non-coding RNA is filed under the name Tetratrichomonas gallinarum. Its description in RNAcentral is "sequence contains 18S rRNA gene, ITS1, 5.8S rRNA gene, ITS2 and 28S rRNA gene". The stretch from base 111 to 269 matches the Rfam family "5.8S ribosomal RNA". The record is from RNAcentral. Lineage: Eukaryota; Parabasalia; Trichomonadida; Trichomonadidae.